AGAGAAGCCCUUUCAAUAUUUCCUUUAACCUGGGUUUUGUGUUGCUGUAUUCUUUAAGUUUUUGUUUGUUGGGAAAAAUUUUUAUUUCCCCUUCUAUUUUAAAUGAUAUUCUUGCUGGAUAAAGUAUUCUAGGUUGCAUAUUUUUUCCUUUGAGCACUUUAAAUAUCUCUUGCCAUUCCCUCCUGGCCUGUAGUGUUUCUGUAGAGAAAUCAGCUGAUAUUCUUAUGGGGGUUCCCUUGUAGGUAACAUUCUGGUUUUCUCUUGCUGCCUUUAGGAUCCUCUCUUUAUCACUAACUUUUGCCAUUUUUAUUAUGAUGUGUCUUGGUGUGGGUCUGUUUGGGUUCAGUUUGUUUGGGGCCCUCUGUGCUUCUUGUAUCUUGAAUCCAGUAUCCUUUAGAUUUGGGAAGUUUCCAGCAAUAAUUUCUUCAAAUAUAUUUUCCAUUCCCUUAUCUUUUUCUACUCCUUCUGGAAUUCCUAUUAUGCGUAGAUUGCCCCACUUUAUAUUAUCCCAUAGGUCUCUUAUAUUGCUUUCCAGUUUUUUGAUUCGGUUUUCUGUCUGUUGACCAGAUUGAGUGAUUUCCAUUAUUCUAUCUUCCAUAUCACUGAUUCAUUCUUCUGCAUUAUUCAUUCUGGUUUUUACUGCCCCUAGUUCAGUUUGCAUCUCUGCAAAUGAAUGUUCUAGUUUUUCUUGGCUCCUCCUUAUAUUUUCUACCUCCUUUCUGAGGGUAUCUGCAUUACUGUUCAUAUCUUCUCUUAAUUCCUUCAGUAUUUUCAGUAUUUCUCUUUUGAAUUCCAGGUCUGUCUGACUGCAGAGAUCUGUUUCAUUGUUGACUGUUUUAGGUGAGUUCUCCUGUUGGUUUGACUGGGGGUGGUUUCUCAGCUUCUUCAUCUUGCUUGUUGUCUUCUUUCUCCUGAGGGAGUUGUAUUCUCCGUUAUCGGGUAGUGUUUGCCUUGUCACUGCCAUGGAAUAUUUCCUGAGGGCUGGCGUUGUUGGUCAAUCUUCUUUGAGGCAGUGUGGCUUUUCUGAAGUGUUGAUGGGGCUAACAGUGUUUCUUUGAAGCAAAGGAGGACUUCCUGAGGGCAGACAGGACUGGGAGGUCCACCCCACGAUGGUAGCAGAUUUCACUUGGUCAUGCAGAGCUUGCUCUGGUGUUUUUAGGCUGUGGGGUUCUUGCAGGGAGUUGGCGGUGUUGGGCAGCUGCUCUUCAGGGGUGCAUCACCCCCUGGGGGCUGGAGCAGCUAUCUGGGUCACUGAGAACCUAAGAGGCUCUUCCCUAGGGCAGCCCAACUCAGAAGGACAGCCUGAGAAUGUAGGCGGAUCUUUUCGCAGUCUGGCCGAGCUUGUUGCAGCUUUUCUGGGCUGCAGGGGCUCUUCCAGGGGGCUGGUGGUGCUGAGCAGUUAUUUCACGGGAGUGGGGCACCCCCUGGGAGCUUGGGCGGGUAGCAGGGCCCUUGGAGACCCAAGAGGCUCCUCCCCAGGGCAGCCCGACUCAGAAAGACCGUCUGAGAUCUUUUCCCGAUUUGGCCAGGCUUGUUGCAGCUUUUCUGGACUGCAGGGGGUCCUGCCUGGAGCUGGAAGUCCUAUGCAGCUGGUCCACUAGGUCUCAGCACCCCCUGGGGCCUUGGGCGGGUAGCAAGGCCCUUGGAGACCCCAGAGGCUCCUCCUCGGGGCAGCCCGUCUCAGAAAAACCGUCGGAGAAUUAGGCUGAUCUAUUCACGGCCUGGCUAGGCUUGUUCUAGCUUUUCUGGGCUGCAGGCCUUUUCUAGGGGGCUGGUGGUGUUUGGUGCUGCUCUGUGGAAGUGUAGCCCCUCCAAAGGGCAAGCAGGCCUGUGCAGGGAGAGCCCCUGCGGUGGUAGGCUUCAGGCAAUUGUUGAGACCAGCCCUCCUGGAUGGCAGGCAGCCCCAGGUUCGUCGAGAGCGUAGGGGGUGGCGGGGGUGGGGGGAGGGAAUGCACUGGGAAGCACAGCUUUCUGCUAGCUAGCGGGCCUGUAAGCUUGCUGUGGCGUGGGGGGUAUUCUAUGGGGACCCACCCCUUCUUCUCUCCCCUCCCCAGCAUGGGUGCAGACCAGGCUCUUCUCCCAGGUUCCCUCUGAGGCGGCUUUCCACUUCCCCGCCCCUAGAGUAUUGCUCCCUUCCUCUGCGACAGCUUUGUUUUCUAGUCUCCCAGGCAGUCUCUGCUCCAUCAAAUGGUUUAGAGACCUCCCAAGCAGUUUCCGCUCUUCCCCGCCCCCCUAGCCUGGGGACUAAUCUCUGGAGCCGAGCCCCCACCCAGGCGUCUCAAUUUUUGGUGACUGUGCCCGUAGUUCAGAUGGUCCGUUGGGUUCUUGAUUGGCUUUUCCGUACUCCGACUUACUGCUACACUCUUCUCUGCAUCUGGGGAUUCCUCCGGUUCAUUUGAUCUUUCGCCCGUUAGGUGACUUUCCAGGGUGCGGGAUCCCUUUCUCCUCCGCAGUUCCCUUUCGGGAGCGCCCGUCUCGCUGGGAUUCACCUUCUCUCACUCUCCUCUUUUCUCCCGUUCUGCCCAGUAAUGUCACGAACUUCUUGCCGUUAUUGGAGUUUAGGUUCCUCUGCCAGCGAUUGGUUGCUGUUCUGUGCGAAUCAUUUAUUCUGUAGAUGUGCUUUUUUUGUUGUGUUCGUGGGAG
This 2643-nucleotide long non-coding RNA is filed under the name Sus scrofa (pig). RNAcentral's name for it is "lncRNA (ENSSSCG00000040293.2)". The record is from RNAcentral. Lineage: Eukaryota; Metazoa; Chordata; Mammalia; Artiodactyla; Suidae.